GGAGAGGUGGCUGAGUGGUUGAAAGCGGCAGUCUCGAAAACUGUUUUAGUUUUAAUUUGACUAACGGGGGUUCAAAUCCCCCUCUCUCCG
This 90-nucleotide transfer RNA is filed under the name Chlorokybus atmophyticus. RNAcentral's name for it is "tRNA-Ser (CGA) (tRNA-Ser-CGA-2-1)". It matches the Rfam family "tRNA". Rfam says of the family: Transfer RNA (tRNA) molecules are approximately 80 nucleotides in length. Their secondary structure includes four short double-helical elements and three loops (D, anti-codon, and T loops). The record is from RNAcentral. Lineage: Eukaryota; Viridiplantae; Streptophyta; Chlorokybophyceae; Chlorokybales; Chlorokybaceae.